RNAcentral lists this long non-coding RNA (3442 nucleotides) under Sorghum bicolor (sorghum). RNAcentral's name for it is "long non-coding RNA (SBIC_LNC011329)". The record is from RNAcentral. Lineage: Eukaryota; Viridiplantae; Streptophyta; Magnoliopsida; Poales; Poaceae.
AUAUUUCCGAAGGGAGGCAGGAGCAGUGUCACUUUCUCCUAUCCUUGUCUUUAUGUGGAAAAAAUGUGCUAAAUUGUGUACUAAUCCAUUCUGAUCGAUAGGUGGAUUUGGCACUUACUUGUUUGGCAUGAGCGAAACCAUCGCCAAGCAAGCGACAGAGGCUGACGAUCCUCAAAAUGUCAAGAAUCCUCACAUCGGAUGGAUGAUAGGGUUUCUCUUCCUUGCUAGUUUCAUUGGCCUGUUUGCUCUUGUGCCUCUAAGAAAGGUAAACAUUUCAACUCGCUUUUGUGCAUAAAACUCUUGUGGCAUCACUAUAUAGCACAUACCAACUAAUCAUGAACUGAAAUCAUCGGUAUAGGUUAUGAUUGUCGACUACAAGCUUACAUAUCCUAGCGGCACAGCAACUGCUUAUCUUAUCAAUGGUUUCCACACGCCAGAGGGUGCCAAGCUUGCAAAGUAAAUUAUCUUAGUGUUGUUUUCCUUGCUGGUUUUAGUUAUUAUUAUCUGUGGUACUAGGUGUAAAACAAUAUUAAUAAAUUCAUACAUUGUAUUUUUCAGGAAACAAGUAAAAACUCUGGGAAAAUUCUUCUUGUUUAGCUUCCUUUGGGGGUUUUUCCAGUGGUUCUACACUGGUGGAGAUAAUUGUGGAUUCCAGAACUUCCCUACAUUAGGCCUUCAAGCUUAUAAGAACAGGUCAGAGCAUCGACUAUCUUGGUUCAGAAAAAUAGCAUUCACCAUUGCUUGUUAUAGCAUUCUGAAUGUACCAGUUUAGGACACUGAUGAAAUGGCUUCCAUACUGAACUUUCGUUUUCAGGUUUUACUUCGAUUUCUCUCCUACCUAUGUUGGAGUUGGGAUGAUCUGCCCGCACAUCGUGAACGUGUCUGUUCUACUGGGAGGCAUACUUUCCUGGGGAAUAAUGUGGCCUCUAAUUCGCAACAAGAAGGGUAGUUGGUACCCAGCCAGUCUCUCAGAAAGCAGUCUUCAUGGACUGCAAGGUUACAGGGUACAGAUCCAUACAAUCAUCCAUCUUUAGUUUUAACACCUGUUAUAAUCACCCAAGCAGCUAAUCUGGAAAUUCCUGACUAGUGCAGGUUUUUAUAUCCAUCGCUAUUAAUUCUUGGAGAUGUUAGUUUUAACACCUGUUAUAAUCAUCCAAGCAGCUAAUCUGGAAAUUCCUGACUAGUGCAGGUUUUUAUAUCCAUCGCUAUAAUUCUUGGAGAUGGCCUGUACAACUUUGUGAAGGUGCUCAUUCGCACUACCAUAAGGUUUAUAUCCAUGAUGAAGAAAAACAGCACCCUUCCGGUGUCAAACAACGGCAGCCCCAUCGCUGAAGCUGUUUCCUUCGACGACGAACGCCGCACGGAGCUGUUCCUGAAAGAUCAGAUCCCCAGAUCAGUUGCCUAUGGAGGUUACGUGGUUGUCGCUGCCAUCUCAAUCGGCACUCUUCCUCAGGUCUUCCCGAACCUCAAGUGGUACUACAUCCUGGUCGCGUACAUCUUUGCGCCCGUGCUCGCCUUCUGCAACGCCUACGGGACUGGCCUCACCGACUGGUCCCUCGCGUCCACCUACGGCAAGCUCGCCAUCUUCAUCUUCGGCGCGUGGGCUGGCGCGUCCAACGGCGGCGUCCUCGUGGGGCUCGCCGCCUGCGGCGUGAUGAUGAGCAUCGUGUCGACGGCCGCCGACCUGAUGCAAGACUUCAAGACCGGGUACCUGACGCUGGCGUCGCCCAGGUCGAUGUUCAUCAGCCAGGUGAUCGGCACGGCCAUGGGCUGCGUCAUCGCGCCCUGCGUCUUCUGGCUCUUCUACAAGGCCUUCACCGACAUCGGCAUGAGCGGCAGCGAGUACCCGGCGCCCUACGCCAUCGUGUACCGGAACAUGGCCAUCCUCGGCGUGGACGGCUUCUCGUCGCUCCCCAAGAACUGCCUCACCCUCUGCUACAUCUUCUUCGCGGCGGCCAUCGUCGUCAACCUGAUCAGGGACCUGGUGCCGAAGAAGGUCGCCGGGUUCAUCCCGCUGCCGAUGGCCAUGGCGAUCCCGUUCUACCUCGGGUCCUACUUCGCCAUCGACAUGUUCAUCGGCACCGUGAUCCUCUUCGCGUGGCAGAUGAUCAACAGGGCCAAAGCCGACGCCUUCGGGCCUGCCGUUGCGUCGGGGCUGAUCUGCGGCGACGGCAUCUGGACCCUGCCGCAGUCCAUUCUUGCGCUCGCCAAGGUGAAGCCGCCCAUCUGCAUGAAGUUCCUGUCCAGGUCGGUGAACGCCCAAGUGGACGGCUUCCUCGGAAAUUAAACUGUGAAAUUACGAUCUGUCAGCAGUCAGCAUGAAUCACAAGUGUAUAUUGUGUUGAUGCUCCAUGCUGUAAAAUGUACCGGGACGGGUAAAUGUUGCUUCGUCACGAUCUGCUUUUGCUGUACAUGAGUAAGUACACUAGUCGUAGGAAUUUGCCAAACUAAUGUUUGCCGUACACGCGUCAGCAUUAUGGUACCAACAGCUGUAUGUUAACUAUAUACUGUAAGACGUUUUGACUCGAAAUUGUUUUCACUGUGACGAGUCAAAACCCAUAAUUAGCAGAUACAGCUGUUACGACAUGAUGAGUCAAAACUCAUAUUUGAUAGAUACAUUGCUCUUACGUAUCUAGACAUAGUGUAUAUCUAAGUGUAUAAAAAAAUUAUAAAUUUAUAAAAUCUAAAAUGUUUUAUAAUUUGAAAUGAAAGGACUACAUGGCUUCAAAUUUCAUAACUACUCUAUCUCAUCGUAUCGUCGAUAUCGGCAAGGGUAAACCAAAACGUUUUGACUCGAAAUUCCCCUUCUCCAAGCGAAAGAACAUCUGGGCCGUGCAAUCCUGAUCGAAAGGCUGCUACCAGCACCAGCCUACUGCCAACCAGAUUCCCGGGACCCGAUCAUGACGUAACUGGAUUCCAAUUACUUCCAAUAAAUACGCCGAUUACCAAGCAUCAAGUCAUCAACCGUGUCACGAACAAUUAGGCACCCUCACCAUGGCGACGGGCACCGCCGCCGCCAGCGCUUCCGGCGGCCCAGCCGUCCACGCGGGAGCCGACGCCUUGGAGUCAGGCGCCAGCCUGCUGCGGCGACGCCACGCCGACGGCCUUGCGGUUGCUGGUGCGGACGACGGCGACGACGGGGGCGGCAAUGCCGAGGAGGAGGUGGUGGCCUCGGUGGAGCAGGCGUUCGAGGACAAGCCCGUGCCGUCGUGGCGGGAGCAGCUGACGGUGCGCGCCUUCGUGGUGGGGUUCAUCCUCUCCAUCUUGUUCAGCGUCAUCGUGAUGAAGCUGAAUCUCACCACCGGCAUCAUCCCCUCGCUCAACGUCUCCGCCAGCCUUCUCGGCUUCUUCCUCGUCCGCCUCUGGACGAAGGCAAUCGAGAGCAUGGGCUUGCUCAAGCAGCCCUUCACGCGACAGGAGAACACCGUCAUCCAGACCUGCG